RNAcentral lists this transfer RNA (72 nucleotides) under Ictidomys tridecemlineatus (thirteen-lined ground squirrel). RNAcentral describes it as "Spermophilus tridecemlineatus (thirteen-lined ground squirrel) tRNA". It matches the Rfam family "tRNA". From Rfam's summary of the family: Transfer RNA (tRNA) molecules are approximately 80 nucleotides in length. Their secondary structure includes four short double-helical elements and three loops (D, anti-codon, and T loops). Further hydrogen bonds mediate the characteristic L-shaped molecular structure. tRNAs have two regions of fundamental functional importance: the anti-codon, which is responsible for specific mRNA codon recognition, and the 3' end, to which the tRNAs corresponding amino acid is attached (by aminoacyl-tRNA synthetases). tRNAs cope with the degeneracy of the genetic code in two manners: having more than one tRNA (with a specific anti-codon) for a particular amino acid; and 'wobble' base-pairing, i.e. permitting non-standard base-pairing at the 3rd anti-codon position. Lineage: Eukaryota; Metazoa; Chordata; Mammalia; Rodentia; Sciuridae. The record is from Rfam by way of RNAcentral. RNAcentral also lists the same sequence under 1 other name.
GGGGAUAUAGCUCAGUGGUGGAACACUUGUCUCCCAUGUGUGAGGCCCUGGGUUCAAUCCCCAGUACCACCA